GUUCAAGGUGGUUCCUUCUCCAAGGGGCACCUAAUGCCCCUCUCAGAAAACUAGCAACUUGGAAUAAAAUCUGGCAAGCCCAAGGUUUUCCGGAGAGAGGGGAUGAUUUUCUUUUUGCCUUCCUUUGGCUGCCUACAUAC
RNAcentral lists this small nucleolar RNA (140 nucleotides) under Dasypus novemcinctus (nine-banded armadillo). RNAcentral's name for it is "Small nucleolar RNA SNORA67 (ENSDNOG00000031542.1)". It matches the Rfam family "Small nucleolar RNA SNORA67". From Rfam's summary of the family: U67 belongs to the H/ACA class of snoRNAs which are thought to guide the sites of modification of uridines to pseudouridines. Lineage: Eukaryota; Metazoa; Chordata; Mammalia; Cingulata; Dasypodidae. The record is from RNAcentral.